Molecule: long non-coding RNA, 8649 nt
Filed under: Manihot esculenta (cassava)
Lineage: Eukaryota; Viridiplantae; Streptophyta; Magnoliopsida; Malpighiales; Euphorbiaceae
Description: long non-coding RNA (MESC_LNC002637)
Source: RNAcentral
AUAAUAAUCCACAACAUUCCACAAGUUUUGGACACGUUAAUAUCAGAGCCUGCAUUAUGGCCUGAGCUUUGUAUCUACAGGGUUCCAAGAAAACUUCGAGCAAUAAAUCCAGCACCAUACACACCUCAGUUGAUUUCAAUAGGGCCUUUUCACUGCGAGGACAAAGCUUUAAUGCCUAUGGAGAAGCAGAAGCUGCGAUACUUGGCAGAGUUCUCCAAAAGGACUGGGAUUCCUUGGACUGAGCUUGCCAAAAAAAUUAAAGAGUGGGAGAUAACAAUCCGCCAUUGUUAUGAAGAAACAUUUGAUAAGGUAUCUAGUGUCGAGUUCAUAAAGAUGAUUCUCCUGGAUUCUGUGUUCAUCAUCGAGCUCUUCUUGAGGAGAGGAGAAAAAUAUGGAUUAAUUAGAAAACAAAGGCAUGGAAAUUUUAAAGAUGAUUUUAUACUUGGAAAAUCAACAAGGGAAUAUUGUUUACUUGGGGAUUUGAUAUUGGUUGAAAAUCAGCUGCCUUACUUUGUUCUUGAUGAUUUAUAUGAAUUCUCCAUCGGCAAUGAUAAUGAAGAAGGCUAUCCUUCUUUCUUUAACCUCAUGAAAUUUAACUUACACGACUACUUAUCUCCUCCAGAAAUUCAAGAAAAUGAAAAUUCUCCCUGCGAUUGCUUCUCUUGCUUGUAUUGUUUCUGGAUUAGUAGAUGCUUCUCCUGUCAAAAGCACGACUGUCAAAGCCCAGAUGAUGAAGAAGAAGACGACCGCCUUCUGGAGAAACCCCUACAUUUCACUGAUUUGGUUCGGAAACAUCGAUCAUUCAAGCAUCCAAAGUCGAAGAAUGACGGGUCCGUGAUGAAGCUAUACAACGCCACAAUGCUACACGAGGCAGGAGUGAAGUUUAAGGCGAGUCCAGAGGCAUGGCCACUCGAUAUAAAAUUUGAGAGGGGAGAGUUGAAGAUUCCAAGAUUCUUAGCGGACGAUAACACGGAGCGUGUUAUUCGAAACCUGAUGGCUUUCGAGCAAUGUCAUUAUCCAGACCAGCCAUUGAUAUGCGAUUACAUUUGGGUACUUGAUUUUCUCAUCAACACGGCGAAAGACGUGGACUUGUUAGUUCGCAAGGGGAUCAUUGUGAACUUGCUUGGAGACAGCGAAGCAGUAGCCAAAUUGGUGAAUAAUCUGGGACUAGAAAUUACAGCAUCUGGGUCUUGUUUUUACGAUCUGAGUGAGCAGCUGAAUAAGCACUACGAGAAUCCAUGGUGCCGUACGGUGGCGAUCAUGAGAAGCGCGUAUUUCAGCAACCUGUGGAGAGGAACUGGAACAAUUGCUGCUAUUGUACUCCUGUUCUUCACCUUCACACAGUCUCUGUAUUCCAUCUCCCAGAUAUUCUAGGCUUGGCUUGAGAGCUUGUGUACUUUUCUGUUUAUACAGUGUCGUUUCUGUAUUCCAUCUCCCAGAUAUUCUAGCCAAAUUGAUGAAUUAGGAAGCAUUGAUCGUGCCAUGGUUGUGGAAACCAUCAAAGAGGAUUUCCAAAGAUCGUAUUUCGUUACAGGUUUUUGGGAAUUGCACAUUUACAUUUCACAACUAAUUAUUGUUGAUUUUUGGUUUCUGCUUCGUCUUUAAUCAGAUGAUAAUGAUCAAAAUAAUUAUCAAGGCGAUUAUACUGUAUAGUAAUCUACCUGAUAAUAAUUGGUUAAUUACAGUUUGAACGAAAAGCUUUAGUUUUGUGCUUUAUGGGUUUUGGAAGAAAUUAUUGUCAUAAUCAUUCUUUUCCAAUGACUAGGAAAUCUCACACUCAAUGCAUACGAGGAGGAUUGUGAAUUUGCCGAUCCAGCUGGUUCAUUUCGAGGACUUGCACGUUUCAAGAGAAACUGUACAAAUUUCGGAUUACUUAUUGAGAAGUCGAAUAUGAAUCUUACAAAGUGGGAAGAUUUUGAGGUGAGAUCAUUGUGUUUUAGGCAUUAUGCUCAACAGAGCUAGGAAGUUUCAUUCAUGGAUUUUGCCAACACUAGUGGUUAGCUCCUCAACAUCUAAGUAUCAGUCAAAAGGCUGAACUAACUUAAAAGUCAUAGUGUCUUAUUUUUGCUUUGGUUAAUGAUUUUCCUUAGAGAACUCUUGACACCAAAAACUUUGUUUGGUUACAGGACAAGGGAAUUGGGCAUUGGCGUUUUAGCUGUAUCAUGUCAUUUCCUUGGAGGCCUAUUCUCUCUGGUAUGCUCCAGGAUCUCACAUUAAACUCAUCAUAAAAGACAUGUUAUUGCUGUAGAUAACUGGUAUUUCCUUAGAAUUUUCACUAUAAUUCGUCCAUUUGGAAUCAAGAAUUUUUGAUUUAUUUUCUAACGAGUCUUUUGUUUGGAAUGAAAGAAUUCAAUUCUUUUUAGCUCAAAAAACUUGUAUUUUAAAAGGAGAAAAUCUUGUAUGAUUUUUCAGUAAUUCUUUUGAAUUCUUUUAUUGCAAAAUGAAUUAUGCUAAACAAGCAGAUUAAGCUCAAGAAUCUGUGAGUUGAAAGUGUGGUAGCAUCAAAAAUGUAUCACAAGAGAAAUGGUGUUUACUAUGGAUGGAUUUCUUCUAAAACUUCUACUGUCUAUAGAACCACAGCUUCAAGGCUUUUGUAUACAAUUUGAUAAUAUAGCUCCAGAUGCUUAGCUGAUUAGAUCUGACUCUGUGAAGCUAUAUUGCAGCUACUGGGUAUACAGAGUACUAUUUUGAUGCACAAUCUGGAAGAGUAUGCAGGUAAUGAAUAAUGGGAUUAUGAGAAGACUUCAUUCUAUCUUUUCAAUAUUAUUGUUUCAGUCUUAAUUCAUUUAGCGAUGCAAACAUUUCAGGCAUGUAGAACACUGGAAUGUUCCCAAAAUGGCACUUCUAAAGCAGCUUCUAAAACCCAGCCAGGGAUCUUGGUUUGGUAAAAGAAACUCCUCAUGAAGAAUACAUGAACCUUUUCACUAGGAAAAAUAUGUAUGCAUUUAAUGAAAAUCGUAGUAAGGAUUGUGAAGGUUAGUGAGAGUUUUGGAUUGCUUUUGAGUGUUCAGAUGCAUGGUAACUAGUGAUAUUAACAACUUCCAAUCUUGAUGUAUGUAAUUGGUCGCAACACCUGCUAGCUAAAUCUGAAAAAAAGAAAACUGUUCAUAUCAUAAUCCACGUUUCAUGAGAUAGCUGAGUUUAAUUAUCUUCGGUUUUUUGUCAUGGCCCAAAGAUGAGUAACUUUUAGACUUUACAAGAUUAAAAUUGUAAAUUUCCCUUGACCAAUAAUUUUCCUCCUAAAUUAGCUUUUCUAUUAUCAUUUUUUUUUUGGUAUAUUAUCCUAUUGGUGCCAUGUCAAUCCAUUUACAGGUAAAGUGACUAUAGCUAGUAUUUCCUCUCCUCUAUUAAUGAGGACUAAACCUUCUACCUCAAUUAAUAGAAAUCAAUUAACUUUAAUGAUAUUAAAUUUAUUUACUGGUGUUAAAAUUCUAAAUAUAUUUAUUUAACUUUUAUUUUAGUUAUUUUUUAUUUAAUAAAUUUAUUUGAUAAAUCUGAAUUAGUUGAGCUAAUAAAUUUUGAUACUAAAUGGUUUAUGAAAAUAAAAAAAUAACGCAUUAAUGCCGCAAAGUGCAAAGGACAUUUAGUUCUUCCUUUUUUGACAAUUUUCUUUUUCUUUCAUUGGGCUAAAAUAAUAUUUUCUGAAUGCUUAGAGGAUAUUCACGUGCUUUUAUUUUGUAUAAAAUUAAAUUAACUUUGUCUUAAAUUAAUUAAGAUAAACAUUUAUUAUUAUGGGUUAAUUGGAUAUGCUAAAAAUUAUUUUAAAUUUUUUAUUAUAAUUAUUUAAUAAUGGCUAGAUUCUAAACGCUCGAGCAUUGGCAAAAUUCAAAACUAAAAAAACUGGGCUUAAGCUUUGGGAGGGCUCAGUGCACCGCUCUAAGUUUCAUAUGAAAUCAAGGCUAGUCAGAGCAGACCGGACUGGAUGGAUAUGAAUUUAUUCUUAAAAUCCUUGCUUGGAAUGCCCAUUUUUUGUCGUGGUAAAAUAAAUUUUGUAAUAAUCGAAUAAUUAUUUGAUGAGAAAAAAAAUAAUAUCAUACAUUUGUAUAUACUGCCAAUAUGAUUAUAGUAUAAAGAUAUGGAUACGGAAAGACGCUUAUAAAUUACUAAUAAACAAAAGAAUAAAAAAAUAUAAAACAUAAAAGAAAAAAAAUAAAAAAUAUAAAAAAAAAAUUAAAUUUACAAAAGUAUACUCUGAAACUAUUCUUAUAUCUCAAACAUAGUUAUUCAAAGAUUCAAAAUAAUUAGUAUGGAAUAUCUUUUGAACUCCAUUAUGUUAAAAGAAGGGAAAUCAAAUAUUAUCUUACAUAUAAUUUUACAUACUUAUAAACAAAUAUUGUACAAGCUAAAUUAAUAAAGUGCACAAUUUGAUAUUUUUAUUUAUAUAAUUUUGUAUGAAAAGGGUCAAACCACGUCACUAAUUCUUUUUAAAUGCUAAUUACACUUAUUUUGAUAUAAAUUAUGAAAAAUUAUGACAAACUUAUUUAAUCAACUUAAUUUUAUUUCAAAAAUGUGCGUAUGACAAAUAGGACAUAAAAAUUAUAACAUAUAUUGAUUUUUUAAAAAUUAUGAGAAAACUGAUAAAUGACUAUUUAAAUUCUGUCAAAAAUUAUAAUUAAUAUCGUUUGAUUAAAAUAAAAUAAGAGAAAAUAUAGAUUAAAAGACAAAAUUUUAUUGAAAUUCCCUAAAAAUUGAAAAGUAAGUUUUUAAUAGUUAAUGGAGGUUAUUUAUAAUAGAAACAAAACUCUAAUUAGCAAAAUUAUUGUAGAUAUCUAUUAUAUUCGAUUCAAAUCUGCCGUAAAAUCCAAAAUUAGUUAGAGUAUAUUAAAAUAUGUGUUCACGAUAAUUCCAGAAAUUCAAAAAUGUCCGUAUGACAAAUAGGACACAAAAAUUAUAACAUAUAUUGAUUUUUUAAAAAUUAUGAGAAAGCUGAUAAAUGACUAUUUAAAUUUUGUCAAAAAUUAUAAUUAAUAUCGUUUGACUAAGAUAAAAUAAGAGAAAAUAUAAAUUAAAAAACUAAAAAUUUUAUUGAAAUUCCUCAGAAAUUGAAAAGUGAGUUUUUAAUUAUCUAUAAUAGAAACAAAACUCUAAUAAGCAAAAUUACGAAAAUAUUCAAAAAAAUUAAUUAAAAUACAAAAUUGACCACCUAAUGGAAUUUACAUAUCAAACUUUGUUACAAAACUGCGGCACUCAUUACACAUUUAAAAGUCGUGCGUCUCGAAAUUUAUUUUUUGAAAAGUUAUUGUAGAUAUUUAUUGAAUGUCGGCAGCAAAAAUUAUAUUCGAUCCAAAUUUAUCGUAAAAUUCAAAACUAGUUACGGUAUAUGUUAACGAUAAUUCGCAGAAAUUCAAUACACUGUCCGGCUGCAUUCAAAUUCAAAGUAGACAAUUGAGAUUAAAAGUGAUUAAUUAGUUUGGGUAAGAUUCUUUUGCUCUGCGUUAAUGGACAAGAGGAGAAAGGUUUGUGUGACAGGAGCCGCAGGCUACCUUGGUUCUCACCUUGUGAAGAAGCUAUAAGAAAGAGGAUACAUCUUCCAUGCCACAAGAAGGAAUCUGGGUUUGAUGACCUUUCCUUUUCAAGCUUUUAAUAUGCUUAUCUACUUAAUUUAAUGUCCCUGAUGAAAUAUUUGUACAUCCUCUAAAUUGCAGGUGAUACUUCUAAGGCAGGGCUUCUCAAGGGUCUUCCAAAUGCAGAGACUAAAAUCAUAUACACUGCCUCUGUGGUGGCUGCAUCUCCUAUGAAAGAAGAUGGAACUGGGUUCAAAGACUCCAUGAAUGAAUCCUGUUGGACUCCCUUCAAUCUCUCAUUCCCUUACAGCAACGAGAUAGUGACGGUACUCAUCUUCUUAAUUUCUUCCUUAUUCAAUGAGCAUAUGAGCUCUUACAAAACAACCAAUUAUUAGUAAACUGCUUUGUUAUACAGGCGUAUACACAAUCAAAGACGCUCUCAGAGCAGAGGCAUAAUGGGGAGCUUGAGAUAGUGAGCAUUACAUGUGGAUUGGUGGGAGGAGGGGGUACCAUUUCUACAGGCAUUUCUGAUAGUAUGCUGGUGAUGCUUUCACAAGCCAUGAACGAUAAACAGAGGUAUGAAAUGCUAAGGUACUUGGAAGAAUUGAUGGGGAAGGUACCCUUAGUUCAUAUCGAAGAUGUUUGAGAGGCUCAUAUUUUCUGUAUGGAGAAAUCCUCCAUCUCUGGUAGAUUUUUAUGCGCUAAUGAGUAUUUGUCAUCAGCAGAGAUUGCCAAGUGUUUGCAAAAACUCCCAGCUGAUAUCAGUAUUCCUGAAGAGUAAGGUUUUUGAUGAAACUAAUUAAAUUCAAUGGGAUGUUAUCAAUGGAUUUACAUGGUUUUGUGUUAAUGAUUUUGGUUUCAUGUUUGUGGAAAACCUAGGGAGGGAGAUUGUUUGGGGGUCUACAAAGCUGGAGGAACUUGGUUUUAAGUAUAAACAUGAUAUUAACAACAUCUUGGAUGGUUCUUUUAAGCAUGCUCGCAAAUUAGGCCUAAUCUAAUUGCUCUUUGGGGAUACAGUGGGGAGACAGAACAAGGGAGAUAAUUCCCAAAGCUCUAAUCCUGAAUAAGAUUUAUAUAAUUCUUGUGGCUUGAUGCUGUGAAAAAAAUGGAUUAUGCUAUAAUAUUCAUUGAUCUUGCAAUCCAUGAAGACUCUUCAAUAAACUAAUAAUGAGUUUGAUCUCUUUAUAAUUUUCUUUCUUGUUAAACUUAAUUGCAAAAUUAAUUCUUCAUCUUUUACAAUAUUUGUUUUCAUUUGCAUUGUGUGAUGAAAAUUUUAAAUGAAAGAUACUAGGAUUAGUAAGAGUUUCAUAAAAUAAGAUGAAAAGGAUAAGGAAUAAAAGAUCUUGCCCCUACAUGUAGGAUAAUUCAUGAACUAUUAAUAUGAUGAGUAUUUAUUUGUAAUAUUUCAUAGUAUGAAACCUUUUCUUACAAAGCUUUUACCAGAGGAAGAGUACAUAGAGUGAAAUAAUAAAUAAUGAAUAUUCACAAAUUAAUUAAAAUUUAUUGUGGUUAUAAUAUAUAAAUAACUUUAUUUUAAUUAAUGUAUAAAUUAAAAAAAGACUUCAGCAAUUUAGGUCAAUAAUAAAAGAGACUAAAAUUUUAAAAGAUAUCAAAUCUGUCUUGGUAAAAUUUAUUGUCAAUAAUAAAAGAAAACAAAAUGAAGCAGCAAAUCCUAACAACUGAGUGAGAGUGACCGGUGCUCCAAUCUCUCUCUUUUGUCCGAUCAGCAGAGUAUGUUACCUAAGCAGAUUACGUAGAUUUGCUAAUCCAUAAUAAUUUCACCUCAAUUUUUAUAAGAUUUUAAAAGAGUCGAUGAAGUAAACAUUACACCUGCAGAACAAUAAUAUUGAAUAAAUUCGGAAAAAGUUCUUCUACUUUAUAUAGUUGGACCAAUCGUGCAAACUUUCUUGUACGUGUGAAUGGGGAUACCAUUAUGAUUUAUUAGAGAGAGAUAAUUAUUAAUCCCUAGCUGCUCCUAUAUAUAUGUGUGUUGAAAUGGGUAUGGAGAAAUGCAUCGAAAUAUUUGCAUAAGCUUAGGUUUUAGACGGAGGAGCUAACCCUAAUCCUCUGGCCUCAGCCACAAGCCAUUUGCUUCCCUGCAAACUUCCCCCUUAGGUUUGCACAAGCUUCUGAUCUCACGGUCUGCUAUGAUCACUUUAACUCCAUAAUCUUAAUUUGUUUAAUUAAUCUGCUUUAUUUCUAGUUUUUUGCAAUAUUUAGAAAGGGAAAAACUGUGAUAUUAUUAUCAUUAUUUUUAUUUUCUGAGAGCAUUAUUAUUAUUAUUAUUAUUAUUAUUAUAAAUUAACGUCUCUAUGUAUGGAAUAUUUUAGCUGUGUAGAUAUGGAGAAGUCAGGAACAUGUGAUUCAUGUAUUUACCUUUUAUUUAGCAUUAUUUAUUUAUAAAAAAAAAUUAAAUGAUUUUUUUUAAAUCAUGUAAAAAUUUAAAAAAUUUUAAAAUUAAAAAUAAUUAAAAUUUUUUCAAAAAUUAUUUUAAAAAAUCAAUUAAAUUAAAUUUUCACUAAAUCUUUUAUUUCAAAUGAAAUUAAGAUACCUUUCAACACUUAUAUAUCCACUAUAACAUCAGAUUAUUUGAUUAUAUUCUAUGCACGUGACAAAUAUAUUUGUGAAUUGAACUCAUAAUUAUUUAUUUUACGAUCGAAAUUAAUCGUUUCUAUCCAUAUAGUCAAAUUCGAGCUAAUUAAAUUAUUAUUAAAUAUUUAAUUUGAAUAUUGUUUAGAGGGAUGAUAUAGAUAUUUAAUUAUAUGAAUUUUUUUUUUUGGAUUAUUAUGUCAACAAUUCUGCAAACUAGGUAUUCUCAGAGAUGGAAAGCACAAGAGAUGCUUCAAAUCAAACUGAAGAUAAAAGCAAAGAGCUGAUAAUAAUCGACAACAUUCCACAAGAUUUGGACACGUUAAUAUCAGAGCCUGCAUUAUGGCCUGAGCUUUGUAUCUACAGGGUUCCAAGAAAACUUCGAGCAAUAAAUCCAGCAUCUUACACACCUCAGUUGAUUUCAGUAGGACCUUUUCACUGCGAGGACGAAGCAUUAAUGCCUAUGGAGAAGCAGAAGCUGCGAUACUUGGCAGAGUUCUCCAAAAGGACUGGGAUUACUUGGACUGAGCUUGCCAACCAAAUUAAAGAGUGGGAG